CUCUAGAGAACCUCUCUCUCUCUCUCUCUCUCUCUCUCUCUAUAUAUAUAUAUAUAUAUAUAUAUAUAUAUAUAUAGAGAGAGAGAGAGAGAGAGAGAGAGAGCUAACACUAAU
RNAcentral lists this microRNA precursor (114 nucleotides) under Marmota monax (woodchuck). Lineage: Eukaryota; Metazoa; Chordata; Mammalia; Rodentia; Sciuridae. The record is from RNAcentral.